Molecule: ribosomal RNA, 319 nt
Filed under: uncultured eukaryote
Lineage: Eukaryota
Description: partial 18S ribosomal RNA
Rfam family: Eukaryotic small subunit ribosomal RNA
Source: RNAcentral
CCCUUAGAUGUUCUGGGCUGCACGCGUGCUACAAUGGCGUUUCCAGCAAGUCUGCGAACCCGAGAGGGCCAGCGGAUCUUCGAAUUGGCGUCGUGAUCGGGACAGUCGAUUGCAAUUAUUUGACUCAAACGAGGAAUUCCUUGUAAUCGCGAUUCAUCAUGUCGCGCUGAAUACGUCCCUGCCCUUUGUACACACCGCCCGUCGCUCCUACCGAUUGAGCGAUCCGGUAAAUGUUUUGGAUUGGUGCCGGGGCGGCUAGCUGCCGGUCGCUACGAAAUUUUGUGAACCUUAUCGCUUAGAGGAAGGAAAAGUCGUAACA